This is a non-coding RNA of Bacillus smithii, 159 nucleotides long. The record is from Rfam. Lineage: Bacteria; Bacillati; Bacillota; Bacilli; Caryophanales; Bacillaceae.
CUCUUAUCAAGAGUUGGCUGAGGGAAUUGGCCCAAUGAAGCCCAGCAACCGACCGUAAUACUAUCGUGAGAUAGGGCGCAGAAAAGCGCCGGAAGGAAUCUUCCGCAAGGCACGGUGCUAAGUCCAACAGAGAGAGUCAUUCUUUCUGAAAGAUAAGAG